UCUCUAAAAUUAAGUAAAUAAUGUCUUUUUUAAAAAAAUGAAAUAAAUACUCGAGGGACAUUCUUUUAACUGAACAAGGAAGUACUCUGCCCGCACGGCUGCUUGCCGCCAUCUUGUGGCCAUUGGAGGAACUGCAUGCGGUGGAAGGUAGAAAUGGAAGGCCACUGCAUCUUCACGCCCACUGGUGUUGCUAGAAUGAAAUGGCACACAAGAAAACCCAUAUUUUCUGGACUCCCCCUGCAGUGAGAUGAGGGUCAUGUGACUGGAAUGGGGGUGAAAGUAAAAUGUAUCUCUUUUAGGCCUGAUCACGAAAUCAAUCACCUGGAUGAUCAUUUUCUUCCCUGGAGAUCAUGAAGAGCACGUGAUGAUGGCAGUAUCUCAAGAUAAAAGUCACAUCUUGGAAGAGCUCUGUUAAAAGAGCCUCCCAACCUGCCUCAAAUUGUGACAUAGGUUAAGAAAUAAACUUUUUCUUUUUGCUUUAUGAGUUUA
Phyllostomus discolor (pale spear-nosed bat) is the source of this 489-nucleotide long non-coding RNA. RefSeq lists it as uncharacterized. The transcript has 3 exons. The record is from RefSeq and is a predicted model, not a curated record. Lineage: Eukaryota; Metazoa; Chordata; Mammalia; Chiroptera; Phyllostomidae.